AUUGAACGCUGGCGGCAGGCCUAACACAUGCAAGUCGAACGAGUGGCGGACGGGUGAGUAAUGUCUGGGAAACUGCCUGAUGGAGGGGGAUAACUACUGGAAACGGUAGCUAAUACCGCAUACCCUCAGAUGUGCCCAGAUGGGAUUAGCUAGUGGGUGGGGUAACGGCUCACCUAGACGACGUACCCUAGCUGGUCUGAGAGGAUGACCAGCCAAACUGGAACGGGGACACGGUCCAGACUCCUACGGGAGGCAGCAGUGGGGAAUAUUGCACAAUGGGCGCAAGCCUGAUGCAGCCAUGCCGCGUGUAUGAAGAAGGCCUUGGGGUUGUAAAGUACUUUCAGCGGGGAGGCGUUACCCGCAGAAGAAGCACCGGCUAACUCCGUGCCAGCAGCCGCGGUAAUUC
RNAcentral lists this ribosomal RNA (406 nucleotides) under uncultured bacterium. Its description in RNAcentral is "partial 16S ribosomal RNA". It matches the Rfam family "Bacterial small subunit ribosomal RNA", at positions 30 to 526 of the family's 1533-position model. The record is from RNAcentral.